GCCUUGGUAGCUCAGUCGGUAGAGCAGAGGACUGAAAAUCCUCGUGUCGGUGGUUCGAUUCCGCCCCAAGGCA
This is a transfer RNA of Lutispora thermophila DSM 19022, 73 nucleotides long. It matches the Rfam family "tRNA". Rfam says of the family: Transfer RNA (tRNA) molecules are approximately 80 nucleotides in length. Their secondary structure includes four short double-helical elements and three loops (D, anti-codon, and T loops). NCBI's taxonomy places the organism in Bacteria, Bacillati, Bacillota, Clostridia, Lutisporales, Lutisporaceae. The record is from Rfam.